UGUAAUCGGGUUUGUUGAAUUCUGGAAGA
This 29-nucleotide non-coding RNA is filed under the name Rattus norvegicus (Norway rat). The record is from RNAcentral. Lineage: Eukaryota; Metazoa; Chordata; Mammalia; Rodentia; Muridae.